GGAAUCUUCCACAAUGGGCGCAAGCCUGAUGGAGCAACACCGCGUGAGUGAAGAGGGGUUUCGGCUCGUAAAGCUCUGUUGUUAAAGAAGAACACGUAUGAGAGUAACUGUUCAUACGUUGACGGUAUUUAACCAGAAAGUCACGGCUAACUACGUGCCAG
RNAcentral lists this ribosomal RNA (161 nucleotides) under uncultured bacterium. RNAcentral describes it as "partial 16S rRNA". It matches the Rfam family "Bacterial small subunit ribosomal RNA", at positions 358 to 511 of the family's 1533-position model. The record is from RNAcentral.